RNAcentral lists this ribosomal RNA (433 nucleotides) under uncultured bacterium. RNAcentral describes it as "partial 16S ribosomal RNA". It matches the Rfam family "Bacterial small subunit ribosomal RNA", at positions 29 to 507 of the family's 1533-position model. The record is from RNAcentral.
AACGAACGCUGGCGGCAUGCCUAACACAUGCAAGUCGAACGAGACCUUCGGGUCUAUUGGCGCACGGGUGCGUAACGCGUGGGAACCUGCCCUUAUGUUCGGCAUAACUCCCCGAAAGGGGUGCUAAUACCGGAUAAUGUCUUCGGACCAAAGAUUUAUCGCCUUUGGAUGGGCCCGCGUUGGAUUAGCUAGUUGGUAGGGUAAAAGCCUACCAAGGCGACGAUCCAUAGCUGGUCUGAGAGGAUGAUCAGCCACACUGGGACUGAGACACGGCCCAGACUCCUACGGGAGGCAGCAGUGGGGAAUAGUGGAAAGUGGGCGAAAGCAUGAUCCAGCAAUGCCGCGUGAGUGAUGAAGGCAGUAGGGUUGUAAAGCUCUUUUACCCGGGAUGAUAAUGACAGUACCGGGAGAAUAAGCUCCGGCUAACUACGUG